AUUUUGCUGCAACAGAGACUGGUCCAGCAUAAUAUAUUGGAGUUCGGUGCACCUGUGUAUGAACUCCAGCAUAUUAUGCUGGACCGGUAUACUUUGCUGACUCCAGUAUAA
Molecule: microRNA precursor, 111 nt
Filed under: Nicotiana tabacum (common tobacco)
Lineage: Eukaryota; Viridiplantae; Streptophyta; Magnoliopsida; Solanales; Solanaceae
Description: miR6161a stem-loop (nta-MIR6161a)
Source: miRBase by way of RNAcentral